GGUGAACGCUGGCGGUAGGCCUAACACAUGCAAGUCGAACGGCAGCACAGUAAGAGCUUGCUCUUACGGGUGGCGAGUGGCGGACGGGUGAGGAAUACAUCGGAAUCUACUUUUUCGUGGGGGAUAACGUAGGGAAACUUACGCUAAUACCGCAUACGACCUACGGGUGAAAGCAGGGGAUCUUCGGACCUUGCGCGAUUGAAUGAGCCGAUGUCGGAUCAGCUAGUUGGCGGGGUAAAGGCCCACCAAGGCGACGAUCCGUAGCUGGUCUGAGAGGAUGAUCAGCCACACUGGAACUGAGACACGGUCCAGACUCCUACGGGAGGCAGCAGUGGGGAAUAUUGGACAAUGGGCGCAAGCCUGAUCCAGCCAUACCGCGUGGGUGAAGAAGGCCUUCGGGUUGUAAAGCCCUUUUGUUGGGAAAGAAAAGCAGCAGGUUAAUACCCCGCUGUUCUGACGGUACCCAAAGAAUAAGCACCGGCUAACUUCGUG
Molecule: ribosomal RNA, 492 nt
Filed under: uncultured bacterium
Lineage: Bacteria
Description: partial 16S ribosomal RNA
Rfam family: Bacterial small subunit ribosomal RNA
Source: RNAcentral